AGAGUUUGAUCCUGGCUCAGAUUGAACGCUGGUGGCAGGCCUAACACAUGCAAGUCGAGCGGUAGAGAGAAGCUUGCUUCUCUUGAGAGCGGCGGACGGGUGAGUAAUGCCUAGGAAUCUGCCUGGUAGUGGGGGAUAACGUCCGGAAACGGACGCUAAUACCGCAUACGUCCUACGGGAGAAAGCAGGGGACCUUCGGGCCUUGCGCUAUCAGAUGAGCCUAGGUCGGAUUAGCUAGUUGGUGAGGUAAUGGCUCACCAAGGCGACGAUCCGUAACUGGUCUGAGAGGAUGAUCAGUCACACUGGAACUGAGACACGGUCCAGACUCCUACGGGAGGCAGCAGUGGGGAAUAUUGGACAACGGGCGAAAGCCUGAUCCAGCCAUGCCGCGUGUGUGAAGAAGGUCUUCGGAUUGUAAAGCACUUUAAGUUGGGAGGAAGGGCAGUAAAUUAAUACUUUGCUGUUUUGACGUUACCGACAGAAUAAGCACCGGCUAACUCUGUGCCAGCAGCCGCGGUAAUACAGAGGGUGCAAGCGUUAAUCGGAAUUACUGGGCGUAAAGCGCGCGUAGGUGGUUUGUUAAGUUGGAUGUGAAAUCCCCGGGCUCAACCUGGGAACUGCAUUCAAAACUGACUGACUAGAGUAUGGUAGAGGGUGGUGGAAUUUCCUGUGUAGCGGUGAAAUGCGUAGAUAUAGGAAGGAACACCAGUGGCGAAGGCGACCACCUGGACUAAUACUGACACUGAGGUGCGAAAGCGUGGGGAGCAAACAGUAUUAGAUACCCUGGUAGUCCACGCCGUAAACGAUGUCAACUAGCCGUUGGAAGCCUUGAGCUUUUAGUGGCGCAGCUAACGCAUUAAGUUGACCGCCUGGGGAGUACGGCCGCAAGGUUAAAACUCAAAUGAAUUGACGGGGGCCCGCACAAGCGGUGGAGCAUGUGGUUUAAUUCGAAGCAACGCGAAGAACCUUACCAGGCCUUGACAUCCAAUGAACUUUCUAGAGAUAGAUUGGUGCCUUCGGGAACAUUGAGACAGGUGCUGCAUGGCUGUCGUCAGCUCGUGUCGUGAGAUGUUGGGUUAAGUCCCGUAACGAGCGCAACCCUUGUCCUUAGUUACCAGCACGUCAUGGUGGGCACUCUAAGGAGACUGCCGGUGACAAACCGGAGGAAGGUGGGGAUGACGUCAAGUCAUCAUGGCCCUUACGGCCUGGGCUACACACGUGCUACAAUGGUCGGUACAGAGGGUUGCCAAGCCGCGAGGUGGAGCUAAUCCCACAAAACCGAUCGUAGUCCGGAUCGCAGUCUGCAACUCGACUGCGUGAAGUCGGAAUCGCUAGUAAUCGCGAAUCAGAAUGUCGCGGUGAAUACGUUCCCGGGCCUUUAAUGACCGCCCGUC
Molecule: ribosomal RNA, 1394 nt
Filed under: uncultured bacterium
Lineage: Bacteria
Description: bacterial SSU rRNA
Rfam family: Bacterial small subunit ribosomal RNA
Source: RNAcentral